Molecule: ribosomal RNA, 508 nt
Filed under: uncultured Glomus
Lineage: Eukaryota; Fungi; Glomeromycota; Glomeromycetes; Glomerales; Glomeraceae
Description: SSU rRNA
Rfam family: Eukaryotic small subunit ribosomal RNA
Source: RNAcentral
AGCAGCCGCGGUAAUUCCAGCUCCAAUAGCGUAUAUUAAAGUUGUUGCAGUUAAAAAGCUCGUAGUUGAAUUUCGGGGUCAGUAGGUUGGUCAUGCCACUGGUAUGUACUGGUCUCACUGAUUCCUCCUUCCUGAUGAACUGUAAUGCCAUUAAUUUGGUGUUGCAGGGAAUCUGGACUGUUACUUUGAAAAAAUUAGAGUGUUUAAAGCAGGCUAACGCCUGAAUACAUUAGCAUGGAAUAAUGAAAUAGGACGUUCGAUCCUAUUUUGUUGGUUUCUAGGAUUGACGUAAUGAUUAAUAGGGAUAGUUGGGGGCAUUAGUAUUCAAUUGUCAGAGGUGAAAUUCUUGGAUUUAUUGAAGACUAACUACUGCGAAAGCAUUUGCCAAGGAUGUUUUCAUUAAUCAAGAACGAAAGUUAGGGGAUCGAAGACGAUCAGAUACCGUCGUAGUCUUAACCAUAAACUAUGCCGACUAGGGAUCGGAUGAUGUUAAUUUUUUAAUGACUCA